Molecule: non-coding RNA, 26 nt
Filed under: Homo sapiens (human)
Lineage: Eukaryota; Metazoa; Chordata; Mammalia; Primates; Hominidae
Source: RNAcentral
UCAUUCUUUUGUGGCUGGUUUCACGU